CAUAGGGACAGCCGUGUAGUGAUUCCAUUGGCGCUGGCCACAGUCCCUAGGGGAGUCCUCAGGUGUUUUGCAAGCUCACUCCAGUGCUGGAUCCAAGUAACUAUAUUACAGCUGCAUAAUGUCCUGCUGGUCCUUCUGAAGACGAGAGCUACUUUGCAUAUCCAUAGGUUUUGUUGGAACGGUCUAGUCACAAUUCUGAGUUAACUGUCAACGAGAAGCUGUGCCAGGACCUAAAACGGCAGAUAAAAACAACUCUGAAAAGAGUGGGCCGGAAGACCUCCCCAGUGAUGCUUAAUUUAAGAAGGUUCAAGUGGGGCAACGCAGAAAAAGCCAAUUUUCAGUGCGGUACGAGCAGAGGAAGUCAGAUCUACUUCUAUUCUGGAUGUUCUUACAAAUUAGAGGCUUCAUUUACUGUGCAUGGAGAGAGCAGAUUUCUGAGGUGAGGCAAUCAUGAGGCGGAAAAUUAUCAUUGGCAAUAUGAGGAUAUUUCACGUUACAGAAAUGAAGACAGACAUCAGAACAUGAAGAAAUAAAGCCAAAGUAAACUCAAUCCAGCAUGGUGUUAGUGCAGUGUCCUUCUGAUGGAUGGGUCACUAAUCGAAAGACACAGGUUCAUUUAU
Molecule: long non-coding RNA, 620 nt
Organism: Hyla sarda
Lineage: Eukaryota; Metazoa; Chordata; Amphibia; Anura; Hylidae
Exons: 3
Source: RefSeq, a predicted model, not a curated record